Molecule: long non-coding RNA, 4421 nt
Organism: Prionailurus viverrinus (fishing cat)
Lineage: Eukaryota; Metazoa; Chordata; Mammalia; Carnivora; Felidae
Exons: 3
Source: RefSeq, a predicted model, not a curated record
ACUGUAGUUCAUUUUCCCCUAGCCUUCAUUUAAAAAAAAAAAAAAAAAGAAGAAAGAAAAAAAAGCUUUUUCUCAAGGAGUGUUAUUAUUUUAGAGAUUUUCAAGCAAGGAACGUUAGAAAGAAAUUAUUCAAAUUAAGUAAAUACUUACAAGACCCACCAUUAUUAUCUGUCUUUUGAAGAGAUGCCCAGGAAAGUCCCCUUUUACCAACUGGAAAAACACUUAGCUUCUAAGAUAAUUGUGAAACAGAAGGGUAUUUGAGUCUUCUGCGAGUUAUUGUGAUUACAGUUUCCCAUGGAUUUUCAUCCAGCUUAUCAAAAAUACUUCCUAUUCUGGGCUCUGGUUUGGGCUGUCUUCUUCCUGUCACUAGUGGGAGAAAUAAAUUCCCCAGUUCUCUUGGCUAGCGAGAGUUCAGAUCUCGUUCUGGCGUGCUGGCUUUGUAAAGCCUCGUGUCUGGACUCUCCGAGUGGCACCGGGGACCCGCGUGCGUGAAGAGGGCACGUUGGGUUGUGAGCCAGAGCUUGUGUACGUGCAUGAGGUCACGCAGCACUGCCCGCCGUGGCCUCCUGUGGGCCAGGGCCCCGUGCUAGGGACUGGUGACAUAGACACACAGCUUUUGCUUUUGCCUUGGGUUUCGUGAGUCAUGCAGACCAGACUCGUGAUUCCAGGAUAAGCCUCCCUUGACGGAAGUAGGGACAGGAAGCCUAGGGAGUGAUGGUUAAGAAGACUUGCAUUUGAGGAUUUCCACUUUUGACCAAGAUAGAGUAACAGGGACCGAUUUACUUUCCUGUCUGAAACAAUUAAAAGACGGACAAGAUAUCUGAAACCCUAGACUUUGGUCAGCGAAGCACAGUGAUACCUUAAGAGAUGGGCAGUGAAGGUUUUUUUCCCCUCCUGACACCAAAUAUGUGUUGUCUUUUCCAGCACCUCCUCUCCAGUUCUCUGGACACCAACUGGAUGUUGGUCAGCUCGGUUCUGACACUGUUUACCGGGAGUUGGGGCCAGAUCUCACGGUUACAGGGUUUCGUCCCACAAGGCUGCCCCCAUUUCGGACGCCAGUCUCAAGUCUGGGCCACCUAUACUUCUGACUGACCGGCUAGCAAGUGGGGAGUCCCAUGACCCCUUCCUCAGACCUCGUGCCUGCCUUCAUCCUAGCUCUGCUUUUCUCCUGCUGAGUGACACGGCUGUUGGCCUCGCCGCGCCGGUGCCUUCCCAGGACUCAGCGCGCGUCAACAGAGGGUCACAGCGACGUUGACACUUGUGCUGUUCAUCUCGCGUGUGCAGUGGCGUCUGAAUCUCGGGUCUCAGCAGGCUCCAUGACCACGAGGAGACAGACGUUGUCCUCACAUCCCUGGCUCCUGAAGGACCCGAUGGGUCCAGAUCCCAGCCCACUCUUGACCGUGUGUAGCUCAGGCGCCCAGGGCAGGACGGAUCCACAGCGGCCGGCACGGAUUUCUGCGCGUUCCACGCUCUUCCAGGUGUAGACGUCACUGGUUUUGGGUUGUGUUUUGUACUGGGUCCCAAACACAAGGGAGGUCGUGUGUGGGCAGUGGAGGGCUGGGGAUGAAUCCGGAUUGUCACGGGUAAGCUCUGGCCAGAGCAGUGAACCAUUUCUUCGGACAGAGGUUUAAAUCGGGGACUGGGAAAGUUCUUUCAGUUUCUGAGCCUCAGCUCUCUGUUUGACGAAGGAAGUCUCACCUACCUCAUGGGACACUUGUGAGGGUGUGCAGGGAGACUUCUGUCAUAUGCCUGGCACAAAGUGCUUCCUGGUGUGUGUUCAGCACGUGCCCCUUGCUGCCCCUUCCUUCCUCUGUGGUCAUCUGACCCCACGGGCCCGGGGACAAUCAGGAGACCCGUCAGGCUGCUAAAUAGUGCGACAGAGACCAGAGGACUGAACUUCUGGUGCUGAGAGUUUUCUCCAAAAAUCCAGAAAGUGUGGUCACGGUUUCCUAGCGGGAGGAAGUCAUGCGUGUGGUACUGAGCUGGGAAGGCGCCCUGUGGGCCGGCGGCAGGCCCGCGCAACUGCAGUGCAGAGCCGGGGGCGCGCCUCGGGAUCACAGAUGAGCCACCGGGGGCCGUGCGGAGAGGGGCCGCCGGGACCUGGCCCCUCUCUGGCUGUGCGUGGUGACGGGGUAGAGGGCUAGAGUGGGCACCGGGAGACCGUGGGAGGCUGGUCCACACCGUGGGGAGAAGGUGAGGGGGCCGUAUGUAGGGAAUUGGAGAAAGUGGCCAGUCUCCCCCUGACCGCGCUGGGGGCCCACUCACAACACCGGGCCGCCUUGCUGACCCCUGCUGGGCACGGGGCCCUGAGCUACGUCUCGCACGUGGACCUGGGCAAAGACCACCCCGAGGCUGCGCAUUCAGAACAGAGCGUGCUCGGGCAGGGGAGGCGCUCACCUCACCUGCGUCUCGGUAGAGACUCCAGGGCAGGUAGGGGAGUGGGGAGAGUGGAGGGCUUCGGUGUAGCCUGACCGGAGGCUGGCGGCCCGGGAAGCUGGAGGCGGGCUUCCUAGAAGCGGGACACCCCGCCCCCGGCUGGGGGAACAUGUUUGGCUACCUCCGGCUGGCGUCCUAAGUUGGACACAGGAACGAACACUUAGGGAAGCUGUCAGUUACAGAGCGAGUCCUGGCCACCCUGAGCCAGUUAUCGUGGGGGCUGUUGUCUGGCGUCCUGGGCCGGUUGCUGGAGAUGGAGGUCUGGCCUCCUGCGGGUCUGGCUUCUAGGCGGCAGGCUGGCGCCCCAGGCUGGUUCCUGUGGAUGAGGGGUUCCUCCUCUGGGCUGGGUGCUGCGGACUGUGGGUCAGAGCCCUGUUCUUGCACGUUAUCUGCCCUUGGCUUAUAUGGCAGUAUUUCAGGCUUUUCAUGAUUAUUAUAUUGGUUAUAGUGAUCUGUGAUCAGGGAUUACCACUCACUCAAAAGCUCAGAUGAUGGUUAGCAUUUUUAGCAAUAAUGUAUUUUUAAAUUAAGGCACACACUGUUUUUGCAGACCUGACGUCAUCACGUGUUUAAUAGAUUCCAGUGUAGCGUGACCGUAACUUUUCUAUGCACCGGGAAACCGAAAAAUGCGUUUGACUUGCUUAAUUGCGACGACACUUUAUCGUGGUGGUUUGGAACCAAGCCCACGAAAGGUCUGAGGUCUGCCCGUGCUCAGUCUCUCAGAAGAAUGAGCGUGACACAGUCUGUUCCUUCGGGUUCUCCACCGCCUCUUAUCUGGUGGCUCCGGGAACACAGUGGCCUCGUUCGUCAUCGUGUCUCUUUAUGGCAGGGUCACAGCCCACGUCAGAAUUCGAAAACUGGGGACUGUCAGUGGUCUGUAGCGGACGGAUACGGAUUGUUUGCCCUACAGUGUUUUAAAAAUUAAUUCCCACGUUAAAAAACAAACACUGACAGACUUGUCACAAAAAUCCAAAGACUGGGUCUGUGGCAGGAACAGAGGAAGUCCUGCUCCUCUCGGGGGACGCGCGUUCCCCACUUCACCCGCUGCGCCCGCGCUGGUCCACGUCUGUGCUUCUGCCUGGCGUCUGCGGGCGUCUGAUUCUGUCAGGAGCAGCAGGCUGUGCUCAGAUGAAAGCUGGGGAGGAGGAAGCCUGCACACCCGGAAUGAGGCACAGCCGCUCUGGUUUUAGGGGGUGGGCGGCCACCCCCCGCGGAGCCCCUGCAUCAGUUCCUUGGGGAUCCCUGGUGGGGGGAGUGGGGGGCCACCGCCGGUCCCAGUGGCAGAUGGCCCACCUGUUGUCAAGGGCGGGGACGAAGUGACAUGCGCACGAAUGGAAUCGGUAGUGAGGUUCUGCUGCAGGCGGCUUAGUUUUCUGUGAUGAGUCACGUAAUUCAGGAUGCUGCCCGGCUCAGCACCGUCCUGAGGAGGCGGCACUGUUCUGUUGCCGACCGCAGCACUGACCAACACACCCCUGGUGAGGGGGCUGGCCGAUAGGUGGGUUUACCGCACAGACGGACACGGUAGGCGCACGUCCCCGUCACCACCGGCCGCGGUGUCGUCGUGGGUCUUGGAACACUUGGUGCCUGUGGCCAAAACGUGGGAACUGUGCCAAACAGUGUAAAACAAGUUUUAUGUGCUGUUAUUUGAAGCGAGGCCCCAGAGCAGCCUUUCUAACUAAAAUAAUCUGUUGAUUUAAAAAACAAAACACGGCAAAAAGAGUCUCUGUGGACUUGCAGACAGAUCUCUGAGAUUUAAAAACUGUCCAUUACUAAAAGCCUCUCCACCCCGAGCCAUCAGAGCUCUGAGCGAAUCUACCUUGUCAGAGGGCACUGCCCCGUUUCUCUUUUUCGAUUCAGAAACCUGAGGGUGAAGGCAUCGAGUGAUACUGUUGAGCACUGAGGUAUUUUUUUACCCUUAAAUGGGAAAAGUCACACAGAAAAGUCAAAGAAUACAGUGAGGCCCGUCCAUCGCCCAGCCACGGUGG